This 403-nucleotide ribosomal RNA is filed under the name uncultured bacterium. Its description in RNAcentral is "bacterial SSU rRNA". It matches the Rfam family "Bacterial small subunit ribosomal RNA", at positions 355 to 774 of the family's 1533-position model. The record is from RNAcentral.
UAGGGAAUAUUGCAAAAUGGGCGAAAGCCCGAUGCAGCAACGCCGCGUGGGCGAUGAAGGCCUUCGGGUCGUAAAGCCCUUUUUGAGGGGAUGAGGAAGGACAGUACCCUCAGAAUAAGCCUCGGCUAACUACGUGCCAGCAGCCGCGGUAAAACGUAGGAGGCGAGCGUUAUCCGGAUUUACUGGGCGUAAAGCGCGUGCAGGCGGAUUGGAGAGUUGGAUGUGAAAGCUCCCGGCUUAACCGGGAGAGGCCGUUCGAUACUGCGGGGCUUGAGGUAGGGAGAGGAAUGCGGAAUUCCCGGUGUAGUGGUGGAAUGCAUAGAUAUCGGGAGGAACACCUGUGGCGAAAGCGGCUUCCUGGACUGUAACUGACGCUCAGACGCGAAAGCUAGGGUAGCAAACG